Molecule: transfer RNA, 72 nt
Filed under: Bacteroidota bacterium
Lineage: Bacteria; Pseudomonadati; Bacteroidota
Also listed under: 1 other name
Description: tRNA-Cys
Rfam family: tRNA
About the family: Transfer RNA (tRNA) molecules are approximately 80 nucleotides in length. Their secondary structure includes four short double-helical elements and three loops (D, anti-codon, and T loops).
Source: RNAcentral
GGUCGCGUGGCCGAGGGGCUUAGGCACCGGUCUGCAAAACCGGUUACGGCGGUUCGAAUCCGCCCGCGACCU